This 253-nucleotide ribosomal RNA is filed under the name uncultured bacterium. RNAcentral's name for it is "partial 16S ribosomal RNA". It matches the Rfam family "Bacterial small subunit ribosomal RNA", at positions 524 to 776 of the family's 1533-position model. The record is from RNAcentral.
UACAGAGGGUGCGAGCGUUAAUCGGAAUUACUGGGCGUAAAGCGUGCGUAGGCGGUUCGUUAAGUCAGUUGUGAAAGCCCCGGGCUCAACCUGGGAAUUGCGGUUGAAACUGGCGAACUAGAAUCUGGCAGAGGGGGGUGGAAUUCCACGUGUAGCAGUGAAAUGCGUAGAGAUGUGGAGGAACACCGAUGGCGAAGGCAGCCCCCUGGGCUGAGAUUGACGCUCAGGCACGAAAGCGUGGGGAGCAAACAGG